Molecule: ribosomal RNA, 186 nt
Filed under: uncultured bacterium
Lineage: Bacteria
Description: partial 16S ribosomal RNA
Rfam family: Bacterial small subunit ribosomal RNA
Source: RNAcentral
CCUAUAUGAAGUCGGAAUUGCUAGUAAUCGCAGAUCAGCAUGCUGCGGUGAAUACGUUCCCGGGCCUUGUACACACCGCCCGUCACACCAUGAGAGUCGAUAACACCCGAAGCCUGUAGUCUAACCAUAAGGAGGACGCAGUCGAAGGUGGGAUUGAUAAUUAGGGUGAAGUCGUAACAAGGUAGC